RNAcentral lists this transfer RNA (90 nucleotides) under Segniliparus rugosus. Its description in RNAcentral is "tRNA-Ser". It matches the Rfam family "tRNA". Rfam says of the family: Transfer RNA (tRNA) molecules are approximately 80 nucleotides in length. RNAcentral also lists the same sequence under 1 other name. Lineage: Bacteria; Bacillati; Actinomycetota; Actinomycetes; Mycobacteriales; Segniliparaceae. The record is from RNAcentral.
GGAGACGUGCCAGAGCGGCCGAAUGGGACACACUGCUAAUGUGUUGCCCGGGCAACCGGGCCGAGGGUUCAAAUCCCUCCGUCUCCGCCA